UCCGGGGGCAGGAGGUUCGACUCGAGCGAAGCGAGAGAACGUUGCGUCAGCAACGGCCCGCAGGGCGAGCCACGAAGUGGUGAGUCAUCCUCUAUCACCGACCA
Molecule: small RNA, 104 nt
Filed under: Klebsiella pneumoniae
Lineage: Bacteria; Pseudomonadati; Pseudomonadota; Gammaproteobacteria; Enterobacterales; Enterobacteriaceae
Description: partial RtT sRNA
Rfam family: RtT RNA
About the family: This family represents a bacterial cis-regulatory element known as RtT RNA. The exact function of RtT is unknown although it is thought that it may be involved in changing the cellular response in relation to amino acid starvation.
Source: RNAcentral